Molecule: long non-coding RNA, 603 nt
Organism: Drosophila gunungcola (fruit fly)
Lineage: Eukaryota; Metazoa; Arthropoda; Insecta; Diptera; Drosophilidae
Exons: 2
Source: RefSeq, a predicted model, not a curated record
CUGGCCAUAAACAACCUAAUGGUUGCUAUAAACAAUAUCAGCAACGGUGGCGCAAACUAUUUAAACAUCAGCUAGUUUGGUUAGUUUAAUAUUUACCACCGUCAGCGAAGGCUAGCCCAAUGAAGAUAUUAUGAGUCGAAUGAACCACAACAAGCCAAACUGGAAUGACAGCCACAGUUCCAAGAAGGGACACAAAUUAAAGCCCAACGCAUGGGAUUCAGGUGGGUAAUUUUCGGCACAAUAAUGCAGAGCUAAUCUUAUCUAGCCUGGUCGAAACGAGGAAAAUUUCUGGAACAUUUCAUCAACUGCUUGGGAAAUCACUCUGACAAGGAACCUCCAUUUUAACAGCUCGAAAACUCAAAUAGCAAAUGGAAUUAUGUUGCCUUGCUACUUGUCGGAAUUAUUGGAACUGUUUUUGACUUCUUCAUCAGAAACAAGAAAGCUAGGAAACAAAUCCUGCAACUUUGUUCCAUUCUGGUGACGAUUGGAAACUUGUUAAUGGCCUGCUUUAAAAACACCGGUCGUGCUAAUUUGUACAGAGGACGUAACCGAAAACACAACAAUAAUAAAUAAAUUGCUAAGCAAAUAAAAUCUAGAAAUUUA